CAGCCGCCGCGGUAAUACGUAGGGUGCAAGCGUUAAUCGGAAUUACUGGGCGUAAAGCGUGCGCAGGCGGUUUGUUAAGACAGAUGUGAAAUCCCCGGGCUCAACCUGGGAACUGCAUCCAAAACUGGCAAGCUAGAGUAUGGUAGAGGGUGGUGGAAUUUCCUGUGUAGCGGUGAAAUGCGUAGAUAUAGGAAGGAACACCAGUGGCGAAGGCGACCACCUGGACUGAUACUGACACUGAGGUGCGAAAGCGUGGGGAGCAAACAGGAUUAGAUACCCGAGUAGUCCCUGUCUCUUAUAC
Molecule: ribosomal RNA, 301 nt
Filed under: uncultured bacterium
Lineage: Bacteria
Description: partial 16S ribosomal RNA
Rfam family: Bacterial small subunit ribosomal RNA
Source: RNAcentral